UUGCUUGAAGAUGGCUGUGCGCCUGAUUAGGUAGUUGGCGGGGUAAUGGCCCACCAAGCCUUCGAUCAGUAACUGGUGUGAGAGCACGACCAGUCACACGGGCACUGAGACACGGGCCCG
RNAcentral lists this ribosomal RNA (120 nucleotides) under uncultured bacterium. Its description in RNAcentral is "partial 16S ribosomal RNA". It matches the Rfam family "Bacterial small subunit ribosomal RNA", at positions 215 to 334 of the family's 1533-position model. The record is from RNAcentral.